Sinocyclocheilus rhinocerous is the source of this 1757-nucleotide long non-coding RNA. The record is from Ensembl. NCBI's taxonomy places the organism in Eukaryota, Metazoa, Chordata, Actinopteri, Cypriniformes, Cyprinidae.
CCAGAGACCCCUAUGCGGACAGGGCGGCGCCGCCUCCACCACCUGCGCGCUACUCGUAUUAAAGUGCACCACUGCGCUUUUGUAAUCCAAGGUGUAAAUUAUUCAACAAGAUCGUCGUCGUCGUCGUCUCCAGGUGCACGUGCCGCGAUACGUCUUUGUCUGCCAGAGCGCGUUUCGUUCGCCUGCGCACCAUAGUGGAAGAGUUCUGUUGCAGACUGCACAUUCUAUAAAACUACCGCUUUUACACGCAUAAAAUCGUCCUCAUGCUAAAUUGUCAACUCUGCUUUAUUUUAUUUUAUUUUUUUGCCUUGUUUUUAUUGUUUAACAUUUGAUAGGUGAGAGAGGCACUAAGCCAGAGCACGUCAAUUAGGUUAACUUGGUGGUUUGGUAAAGACUAUGAAAGGAACGCAUAUUAAAAAUUCUUCUUUCAAAGAACACUUCAAUGUAUCUCACUGUACAUUUUUACCUUUAAAAUCUGGAAUGAGCUUAUCGUUUGUUAUUAAACUACUGUAACGAGCACUAUUCCAUAACUUUGAUUUUGAACCAAAAAUUCAUUUGUGUAAUUCAUUUUUUUUUUCUCGCUCUUUUUUUUUUUUUUUUUUCCCUCUAAGCUAUUUGUUAAAGUGCGGCAUGCAAGUAAAAAUACAUUCUCCACAGCAAUAAAACCUUUCCGUCUACUGGCUUUAUUGAAAUUGUGCUGUAGUGUGGAUUUUAGUUGCAGAGUAUCGAAGUUAAAGGACUUUGUAUCAUUUUCUUUCAUAGGAACACUUAACAGUUUUAAUAAAAAGACUGGAACUUGGUCCGUCAUUUUGCUUUUCUUGCUAACCUUUUAAACUCAACAUGCCUAAAUAGGCAUAAAAGUAACUAUACUAGACAUGUAUUCGAAUUAAAACCCAUAACAUCAUGCUUCCUAGUUUGAGUAUCACGGAGAAUGGAACUGCUUCUGCGGCGAAAUGAAAGCGAUUAUACCAUCACUUCGUCUUCAAGGCUAUUCUUUUGCUCUAAACCAGGGGUAGGCAAGUUCGGUCCUAGAGAGCCGCAGUCCUGCAGAGUUCAGCUCCAACCCUAAUCAAACACACCUGAACAAGCUAAUCAAUGUCUUCAGGAUUACUAAGGCUAUAGGCAGGUGAGUUUUUCUUUUCUUUUCAGGGUUGAAGCUGAACUCUGCAGGACUGCGGCUCUCUAGGACCGAACUUGCCUACCCCUGCUCUAAACCAUUGGCGUCUCAAUAUUCCUGGUCUGUCCAAAUAAUCCUAUCAUUUUGAUUCAUUAAGUGGAUCGACUUCCCAAUGUUUUCUUAAACAAUCAGUGGUCCUUUUUAAGUUUGAUUAUGCCAGGUAAGUCACUUGUUGCAUUUAGUUUCUUUACCACUCAGCAUGCCUUUCACUACUUAAUUGUUUCAAGGUAUAGCUUUAGUACACCGACUGUAUAUGUGUCUCAGUGAAAUGUAUUUGGGUCCAUAUGUUUUCCUCAUGCAAGUGAUGAUAUACUUUAGGAUGAACUCAUGCCUGAGGGUAAGUUUUAGGUUAACUUAUGCAUUUCCCCCUUUCUCUUAGUUCUGUAUUUAUUUUACAAUAAAAUGUGUAGUUAUGGCUGUUCGUUCAUUUAUUUGUGGGACACCAAAUGCAUGUGCCUCUUUUGGCAAUGAUCUCAACAUAAAGUUUUAUUUAUUUUCCAUUUAAGGUGAAUGCACUUUCAAUAAACCAAUAAAACAUUUUCCCCCCUGCCCAAACUACGUGUUGGUGGUUAUUUUUUAA